This 1082-nucleotide long non-coding RNA is filed under the name Olea europaea (common olive). RNAcentral's name for it is "long non-coding RNA (OEUR_LNC006006)". The record is from RNAcentral. Lineage: Eukaryota; Viridiplantae; Streptophyta; Magnoliopsida; Lamiales; Oleaceae.
CAGAUUAUCAGUGCUGGUACAAUGAGGGCCACUGAGAGGAAGGACACGGUGGUGAUCCUGAAAACUGACUGAUGAUUUGAUGCACCUGCACAUGCGAGGUAAUGCAUAUUAGGUCUAUCUGAUUGAAAUUUUUCAAUGACAAGUUGAUUUUUUGUGUGAAGUUUUGGACUAGUCCCAUUAACUAGCUGAAAAUGGUGUCGACCAGACUCCCAUAUGGAUUUUGGUGCUUAUCGAGUAUAGAAUAAAUAUGCUUACGAUGUUCAUGAUUAAUUCGAUUGAUUGGGGCCUAUCCUAUUCGAACUAAAAAAUCCAACCUGGAAACUGUCUCUAUCCCAGAAAACCUCUCUUAUCUCAUUAUUGAGUUGACAUUUAUUUGUCAAAUGUGUUUAUUAUAAUGCCAUUGUUGGUAGAAUAUUAUUUCCAUUAUUCUGUUUGACCCAAUCAUCAAUCACAAAAAUGUCCUUCAGCCUCCUAAUUAUUGUCAUGUCCGAUCAAUAAUCACGGCAUGGAUUAAUCAUAAACAGGGAGGGAAGUUAGAAAAUAUCCUUACCUACUGGAUUAUUGAAACUUGAGACGUUCCAUGUCAACUCGAGCUUAAGGGGAAGCCCAUGUUCGUAUAGAUAUGAAACUGGUACUGGCAAUGUGAUAAUUUUCUUGCACAUGUACAGUCUCAUCACUUCGGAUUGGUACCGUGUUGCUAGUAUUCUCGUAGUCAAGUUGCUGAGGCAAUCGAUUGCAGUAGUCAAACCGGUAAAACUGGUUGCCUGAUUUCUAGGACAGCUGAGGAAGGUGUAAUUUUGAUAAGAAACAGCCGUAAAAGGAGAAGACGAAAGAUUCAAACUCAUAAGCCGUCUUGGGAGGCAAUUAUUUGGAUUAGUAAGUUGUAUUUGUCCUAUGUAGUAGGAAAUAUAUCCUACGAAAAACUGACCGGAAUAAGGGAGAUCCAGAACUGUUGUACCCUGAUUAAUGCUUAAAUUGAAUCCAGGACUCCCGCGAUUUCGAGACUGAUGGCUUUCUAACCAGAAUGGAAAGUGUAUAGAGAAGCUGCUGUUGGCACAAUAGGAAGAUGGACAAUUAUUUUC